This 456-nucleotide ribosomal RNA is filed under the name uncultured bacterium. RNAcentral's name for it is "bacterial SSU rRNA". It matches the Rfam family "Bacterial small subunit ribosomal RNA", at positions 28 to 526 of the family's 1533-position model. The record is from RNAcentral.
GAUGAACGCUGGCGGUAUGCUUAACACAUGCAAGUCGAACGAAAUCUUUCGGGAUUUAGUGGCGGACGGGUGAGUAACGCGUGAGAAUCUGCCUUCAGGUCUGGGACAACCACUGGAAACGGUGGCUAAUACCGGAUGUGCCGAAAGGUGAAAGGUUAACUGCCUGAAGAUGAGCUCGCGUCUGAUUAGCUAGUAGGUGUGGUAAAGGCGCACCUAGGCGACGAUCAGUAGCUGGUCUGAGAGGACGAUCAGCCACACUGGGACUGAGACACGGCCCAGACUCCUACGGGAGGCAGCAGUGGGGAAUUUUCCGCAAUGGGCGAAAGCCUGACGGAGCAAUACCGCGUGAGGGAGGAAGGCUCUUGGGUCGUAAACCUCUUUUCUCAGGGAAGAACACAAUGACGGUACCUGAGGAAUAAGCAUCGGCUAACUCCGUGCCAGCAGCCGCCGUAACAC